GACGAACGCUGGCGGCGUGCCUAACACAUGCAAGUCGAACGGAAAGGCCCUGCUUUUGUGCGGUGCUCGAGUGGCGAACGCGUGCGUAACAAGUGAGUAACCUGCUCUUGACUUUCGGAUAACUUCAGGAAACUGGGGCUAAUAUCGGACAGGAGCUCCUGCUGCAUGGUGGGGGUUGGAAAGUUUCGGCGGUUGGGGAUGGACUCGCGGCUUAUCAGCUUGUUGGUGGGGUAGUGGCAUACCCAGGCUUUGACGGGUAGCCGGCCUGAGAGGGUGACCGGCCUCAUUGGGACUGAGAUACGGCCCAGACGCCUACGGGAGGCAGCAGUGGGAAAUAUUGCACAAUGGGCGGAAGCCUGAUGCAGCGGCGCCGCGUGCGGGAUGACGGCCUUCGGGUUGUAAACCGCUUUCGCCUGUGACGAAGCGUGAGUGACGGUAAUGAGUAAAGAAGCACCGGCUAACUACGUG
Molecule: ribosomal RNA, 468 nt
Filed under: uncultured bacterium
Lineage: Bacteria
Description: partial 16S ribosomal RNA
Rfam family: Bacterial small subunit ribosomal RNA
Source: RNAcentral